UACGUAGGGUGCGAGCGUUAAUUGGAAUUACUGGGCGUAAAGCGUGCGCAGGCGGCUUUGCAAGACAGAUGUGAAAUCCCCGGGCUCAACCUGGGAACUGCAUUUGUGACUGCAAGGCUAGAGUACGGCAGAGGGGGAUGGAAUUCCGCGUGUAGCAGUGAAAUGCGUAGAUAUGCGGAGGAACACCGAUGGCGAAGGCAAUCCCCUGGGCCUGCACUGACGCUCAUGCACGAAAGCGUGGGGAGCAAACAGG
RNAcentral lists this ribosomal RNA (253 nucleotides) under uncultured bacterium. RNAcentral describes it as "partial 16S ribosomal RNA". It matches the Rfam family "Bacterial small subunit ribosomal RNA", at positions 524 to 776 of the family's 1533-position model. The record is from RNAcentral.